Molecule: transfer RNA, 70 nt
Filed under: Ponticola kessleri (bighead goby)
Lineage: Eukaryota; Metazoa; Chordata; Actinopteri; Gobiiformes; Gobiidae
Description: tRNA-His
Rfam family: tRNA
About the family: Transfer RNA (tRNA) molecules are approximately 80 nucleotides in length. Their secondary structure includes four short double-helical elements and three loops (D, anti-codon, and T loops). Further hydrogen bonds mediate the characteristic L-shaped molecular structure. tRNAs have two regions of fundamental functional importance: the anti-codon, which is responsible for specific mRNA codon recognition, and the 3' end, to which the tRNAs corresponding amino acid is attached (by aminoacyl-tRNA synthetases). tRNAs cope with the degeneracy of the genetic code in two manners: having more than one tRNA (with a specific anti-codon) for a particular amino acid; and 'wobble' base-pairing, i.e. permitting non-standard base-pairing at the 3rd anti-codon position.
Source: RNAcentral
GUAGGCAUAAUUUUAACUAAAAUAUUAGAUUGUGAUUCUAAAAAUAAGAGUUAAACCCUCUUUGUCCACC